This 160-nucleotide ribosomal RNA is filed under the name uncultured bacterium. RNAcentral's name for it is "partial 16S ribosomal RNA". It matches the Rfam family "Bacterial small subunit ribosomal RNA", at positions 1342 to 1500 of the family's 1533-position model. The record is from RNAcentral.
UCGCAGAUCAGAAUGCUGCGGUGAAUACGUUCCCGGGUCUUGUACACACCGCCCGUCACACCAUGGGAGUCGGAAAUGCCCGAAGCCGGUGACCAAACCAAUAAGGAAGGAGCCGUCGAAGGCAGGUCUGAUAACUGGGGUGAAGUCGUAACAAGGUACC